Molecule: long non-coding RNA, 965 nt
Filed under: Mytilus galloprovincialis (Mediterranean mussel)
Lineage: Eukaryota; Metazoa; Mollusca; Bivalvia; Mytilida; Mytilidae
Source: RNAcentral
UAAUAAAAAAAAAAACUGUGGGUUUUCAAAAUAUCAAAGGACUACAUGGACUAAAGUAACAAACAUACAACAGGCAAACUUUGUGUUUAUAUACUACCGGUAGUAUAUUUUUCCUUAAUUAUUAAGCCAAGGUUCCAAAAGAAUAUGGUGCACAGUUGGGUAAUUUCCUGAUCUCAGGUAAUACCACAUAUGAAAUAUGUGCCUCUUUUCAGAAAAAUAGGCCACUUCACGGUUAUUUCGGCCAUAUUGAACGUGUGAUUGUUUUUUAAAUAGGUGAAAAUAGCAUGAGAUUAUGGGAAAUCUAUGUAUGUUUCCCAGCAUCUACUUUGUUUUAAUGAUGUUUUCACAUAUUUUUCAGACCAAUUUUACCUCCAUUAUGAAAUUCUGCCACUUUUUAAUAUGGCCAAACUAAUUGAGAAGGGGCCUAUUCUAAUCAACAUUGUGAUUAAAUAGUUGACACAGCAUAGGUUUCUGACACAUAAUGAAUGUGGUCUAAUGAACUUAAAAUAAUUUUUUUGCCUUUGAGCAAUUCACUAUGCUGUUGAAUAUUAAUCCUCUAGAUCUCAAAAAAAUGUUUGAAGAAAUUUUCUUUUUAUUUAUGAAAUCUGAAAUGAGGAAAAUUUAACCCCCCCCCCCCCCCCCCCCCAUAUUUUUUUCACAUCCCCCUUUCCCUUUUUCCAAAACUGAUCUCAGUUCAAAUUUCUAAUGGAGUUUGCAACAAUAACUACUCAUUUAAAUACAUCAUAAAAUAUUAAAAUGUAAAAUAAAGUGCUUGUUAAUCACUGAAUGGUAAAGAUUGUUUUAAUUUAUCAGUUGGUAGUAAAAGUGAAUAUACAUUGUAUAUUGUAUAAAACAAUGAUUUAAGUUGAUUCAACUACUAUUCUGGACAAAGAAAGAUAACUCCAAUCAAUUGAAAAUUUCUUGCUAUUGCACAAUAUUGUGCAAUUAGAUAUUUCUUGCUAUUG